RNAcentral lists this ribosomal RNA (344 nucleotides) under Hobbseus prominens. RNAcentral's name for it is "partial 12S ribosomal RNA". The record is from RNAcentral. Lineage: Eukaryota; Metazoa; Arthropoda; Malacostraca; Decapoda; Cambaridae.
UCCUUGAAAUUUAAAGAAUUUGGCGGUGUUUUAGUCUAGUUAGAGGAACCUGUUUUAUAAACGAUAUAACACGCAUUAUUUUACUUAUUUUAGUAUUACAGCUUGUAUACCGUCAUUAUAAGAUAAUUUAAGAGAGAAUAUUAUUGGAAUCAUAUUAUUGAGUAUAUUAGAUCAAGGUGCAGCUUAUAGAUAAGUAAAUAUGGGUUACAAUAAAAGUUAUUUAAUAUGAAUUAAGUAUUUAAAUAUAUUUAUGAAGGAGGAUUUAAUUGUAAGGAAAGGAGUAGUGAGAUUUUCUGAUAAAAGCUCUAAAUUAUGUACAUAUCGCCCGUCGCUCGCGGGAAAAA